Molecule: ribosomal RNA, 202 nt
Filed under: Solanum lycopersicum (tomato)
Lineage: Eukaryota; Viridiplantae; Streptophyta; Magnoliopsida; Solanales; Solanaceae
Description: 5.8S ribosomal RNA
Rfam family: 5.8S ribosomal RNA (bases 49-202)
About the family: 5.8S ribosomal RNA (5.8S rRNA) is a component of the large subunit of the eukaryotic ribosome. It is transcribed by RNA polymerase I as part of the 45S precursor that also contains 18S and 28S rRNA. Functionally, it is thought that 5.8S rRNA may be involved in ribosome translocation.
Source: RNAcentral
CAUUUGCGGAUCAUGCAGAGGGACACACGCUGCUCUCUAAACACAAAUGACUCUUGGCAACAGAUAUUUUGGCUCUCGCAUUGAUGAAGAACAUAGCGAAAUGUGAUACAUGGUGUAGAUUGCAAAAUCCCGUGAAUCAUCGAGUAUUUGAACGCAAGGUGCACCCGAAGCCAUUUGGAUGGGAGCAUGUCUACCUGGGCGU